UACGUAUGGGGCAAGCGUUAUCCGGAAUUAUUGGGCGUAAAGAGCGCGCAGGUGGUUGAUUAAGUCUGAUGUGAAAGCCCACGGCUUAACCGUGGAGGGUCAUUGGAAACUGGUCGACUUGAGUGCAGAAGAGGGAAGUGGAAUUCCAUGUGUAGCGGUGAAAUGCGUAGAGAUAUGGAGGAACACCAGUGGCGAAGGCGACUUUCUGGUCUAUUAUUGACGCUGAGGCUCGAAAGCAUGGGUAGCAACAGGAUUAGAUA
RNAcentral lists this ribosomal RNA (260 nucleotides) under uncultured prokaryote. RNAcentral describes it as "partial 16S ribosomal RNA". It matches the Rfam family "Bacterial small subunit ribosomal RNA", at positions 524 to 784 of the family's 1533-position model. The record is from RNAcentral.